AUACGUAGGGAGCGAGCGUUGUCCGGAAUUACUGGGUGUAAAGGGAGCGUAGGCGGGAGUGCAAGUCAGAUGUGAAAUACAUGGGCUCAACCCAUGGGCUGCAUUUGAAACUGCAUUUCUUGAGUGAAGUAGAGGUAAGCGGAAUUCCUGGUGUAGCGGUGAAAUGCGUAGAUAUCAGGAGGAACACCGGUGGCGGAGGCGGCUUACUGGGCUUUUACUGACGCUGAGGCUCGAAAGCGUGGGGAGCAAACAGGAUUAGAUACCCUGGUAGUCCACGCUGUAAACGAUGAUUACUAGGUGUGGGGGGACUGACCCCUUCCGUGCCGCAGUUAACACAAUAAGUAAUCCACCUGGGGAGUACGGCCGCAAGGUUGAAACUCAAAUGAAUUGACGGGG
Molecule: ribosomal RNA, 396 nt
Filed under: uncultured bacterium
Lineage: Bacteria
Description: partial 16S ribosomal RNA
Rfam family: Bacterial small subunit ribosomal RNA
Source: RNAcentral